This is an RNA transcript of Anneissia japonica, 5067 nucleotides long. It is a transcript of the gene named receptor-type tyrosine-protein phosphatase F-like, with no coding region annotated. The record is from RefSeq and is a predicted model, not a curated record. The transcript is spliced from 5 exons. NCBI's taxonomy places the organism in Eukaryota, Metazoa, Echinodermata, Crinoidea, Comatulida, Comatulidae.
UCCCCAAAAUAUUCUCCGGGUUUUGUACUGUUCUUUGAUCCUUCCCUACCUGAAUUAUUGCAACUUGGUCUGGUCCAACACUUACCCUUCCCAUCUUAAUAAACUGUUACUCCUUCAGAAGAAAGCCGUUCGAAUUAUGUCAGGUGCACCUCCGCGAGCCCACACCGAUCAUUUAUUUUCCUCCCUUUUUCUUAUAAAAAUUCAUGACAUUAAUCAUCUUCAGCAAUGCGCUUUUAUUUUUUCAUGGGUAAAUUUCUCUCUCCCCCUCAAUUCAAAUCAUUACUUAAUUUUUAAUUUUGAUUAUCAUAGUCAUUUUACCUGCUCUUCAAAUCAUCUUCAUAUUCUCUUUCAUAGAACCAUUUCUUUCCAGCACAAUAUUCAAUAUACUGGUCCUAAGCUAUGGAAUAAUCUCCCUCACUCCAUUUAUAAUUCCUACUCUAAAAAACCUUCUGUUCUAGACUGAAAAAACAUCUCUUAUCAAGUUAUGUAUAAUUUUCUCCUUUUACCCAUUCUCGAUCUUCAUUACUAACUCGUUACAUUUUGUUUUUGUCCCAUAAUUGUAAAAGAAAAAAAAAUUGCAUUUCUGAGCAUCUUUGUGUUGUCUGCGUUGUCUGUCUUGUCUCCUGUUUGUUUCCUGUCCUGUUUUGGCUUUGGUUUUUAUGUGUGUUUAUUUUCAGGGUAGCCCUACACAAGCUCUGCUUUCUGGGUUUCGCCCCUCUAACUUGGCUACUUAUUAUUUUAUGUAUGCAUUAUUAUUACUUUUGAGAAAUAUAUGUUCUCUUGAACCUCGCCCACCAUGCGUAAAUUUAAAAUGCAUACAGUAUAUAAAUUUGUAUUUCUUGUAAUCAUAUUUUUAAAAAUUUUUUUAAUAUUAGUUCCGGAGAGCGUAGAAAAUAUUGCCAUCCAGGGAUCAACAUUGGUGUGGGACAGACCUCGACCUUUGACCUGUGACAUUUUAAAUUACCAUAUUAAUUUAAGUUUGAUUGAAAAGGAUCAGUGUCAACAAGUUUAUAGAAAUGAAAAUUUUAAUACAGAAGAUGCUGAAGUAAAUUUAUUAGAAUUGGAACCAUAUUCAACAUAUCGAGUCAAUAUCAGCACUGAAACAGAUGCAGGACUUGGUCCAGAAACUACUCAUGAAUUUGUAACUCCUGAAAAAGUUCCUAAACGUGGUCCAAUAGAAAUUAACAUCACCGCUGUGUCAGCCACAGGAGCCAGCUUUGCAUGGUCUGAAAUAGAAUGUGGCUAUAAAAGAGGUCUCAUCAGAGGCUACAAAUUCAGCUUGCAAAAUGCAGAUGGCCAAGAACUUAUCACUAGUGAGACAAGUGAGCGUCAGUGGGAAGUUGACAACCUUAUUCCAUUUACUGAAUACAUUUUCAGUGUAAAAGGUUUCAAUUCCAAGGGUGAUGGAGAAAGCAAAGAAUUAAGUAUAACAACGAAUGAGUCAACACCAUCAGUACCUUGUAACCUGAUAGCGAUAGUAAUUCUUUGUGUUGUCAUCCUGGUCAUGUUUCCACCAUUCAUCUUCUUUUGCAGAUUCUAUUACUCUCAGAAGAACAAGAAGGUGAAGCAUCCCACGAUGAUAAGUAUGACUGAUUAUGAUGGUGUUAAAUUACCUGAAACAACAAAAAGAAGUAAUACAAAGAAUGAAAACACAUUGUCAAACAUUGGUGGUCAGAAUGGUGGUGGUGAUGGUGUUGCUACUGGUGAUGCUGCAGCGGAUGAUUCAGCUUACGAAGAGCCACACACAUACAUGACAGUAGACUCAGCAUAUACUAACUUGCAGAAGAAGUCUAUUAAUGUCACUCAUUAAGGUAUGCAAACUGAAAAGAUGUAUUGUUUCAAGAUGAUUAUUAUAAAAACUUGAAAAAUUGAAUUCAAUAUUUAGAUUGCUUACUUUACAUAAUAUAGUAGCUUAGUGCAUAUCAAUUUAAAGUUAGAAAUGAGAAAAAGUGCAUUCGUAAAUUAAAUGGCAUAGACCUAUACACAGUUACUGUAUCCUCCUGCACAUCAGGUGUUUAGCCAGAAAAACGAAAUAGUCUAUCCAAAAUAUAUGCUUUAGUUUAAUGCAACAUUUGAUAGAUUCGAAGAAUAUAAAGAAUUUACUAAUGUAGAGAAGGCCCAAUAGGCUAGGCCGACCUUAGUAGGCCAAGCCUUCCAAGCCGUCACGGAAAAAGUGGCCGUCCUAAAUAAUUACUGGCCAUCCAAAAGACGGCCGGAUGGCUUGCUGGCUAAGUUAUUGCUGUACAUAUACGGUAAUAUGAAAACAUUUUGAUCAGUGGUAGUACAGUGACUACUACAUGCUUUAUCUAACAAUCUGGCAAUUUUUACUGUAUUAUGUAACCACAAAUGAGUAAUUCAAAAUAUGGUUUGCUUUUCAAAGGUUUUGUAGUUUCAUUUGUAGUUAAAAAAAAAAAAAGAAGUACCUUGGAUACUUUGCAUUACAUUAAAGAUGAACUUUUUAGAAUAUAAAGAAAGGGUCAACCAGGGUCUGAUACAGUGGCUUCCUGAUUUAUAUAAAAACAAUUUAUAUAAAGACAACUUAAUCAACUAGAAUAUCAUUUACUUGAAAUUAAUUUGAUAUGGUAGAAAUAUUUAUGAUAAAAAUCUUUGUUUUCUUUUUUGAUAAUUUAAGUCCUAUUGUUGUCAGAAGGUAAUGGACAUGAAGAUCAUAGUUUACCCUUCUUGGUAGAAUAGCACACCAAUUAAGUUGGUCACUGUGACAAUAACUUGUAUACAUGUUUUUAUUUUCCACUUUCUUGUGUGUGUUUUGUAUAUAAAAAAGCAAAAUUCGGCCUAUUUUAGUUGCCACUUUAGGCCCGUUGUCACCUGUCCCUUUGCCACAUAGGCUCGUUGCCAACCAGCCUUUUGCCACCUCUGGGUAAUGGUGCGAUUAUACUGAUUUCUAAACGGAUUUGUUAUUUCAGAUGCAUAUAUUUUUAUAUUUUUGUAUUUGGAUGGUGACGUUAGUCCUAAUUAAUACUGUAACAAAAAUUGUAAUAAAUGUAGUGGUGUUUAGUUUUAUUAAUAUUAUGUUGUUUACUAAUUAUAUAUUAAACUGAGACCACUGUACACAUGUAUAGUUGUCUCAGGUAUUAAAACCUCACAUAAGCCCAAGAGGGUUAUAUUGUAGUUCUCUAGUUUUAUUAUUCCGGUAUAAAAAAUAAACCUCAGAACCGCAGAUAACAAUGGCCGGUGAUUUUACAAAAAAAAAAAAAAAUUUUUUUGUUUGUGGAUGGCAGCCUGUUAUGUGUGUAAUGGUGGUUAUUUCAAAAACAUUAUUAAUUAACCUUAAUUGAAGAUUAUCCCACUUAUUGGGUUUAAGAAUGAUCUAUUAUUAUAUUUUCUCAUGAAAAAUAAUGUCCAUAUAAACUUUAGGAAAUAUUUUGGUAGAUCUAGAUAAAACUAAUUAAUCUCUUAUCUUUAGUGUGAAAAUAGAAAGAUUAUUGGGCUAGUAAUUAAUGAUUAUGAAUAAGCUAAUUAGUUAGUUUAUUAGCUUGAAUGUAAAAGUUUAUUUCAUUCCGACUGUUUAUACCGUGACUUCGACAAGGGCUUGUUCAGGAUAUUGGGUUGUCACACCAUGGUCAUACGUUCCACAUUUCAGAGUGCUACUGUACAUAAUCAUAUAUUUUGCAUAUCACUACACCUGAUGAAGCCAUGCAUAGACUGCUGGUGAAAGCUUGUGUACUAAAUAAUUCAAGUUAGUAUGAAGUUGUAUGUCCAAUGUUUUUAUUUCAUAUUUUACUUAAUAUCUUGAACAAGGCCGGGUGGCCAAAAUGUUGGGUGGCUAUGAGCCAGGUGGAAACAGGCCUAGAGCAGACUAGUUAUACAACGUUUUAAUCAUUAUUAAGCACUUUGGGCCAUUCUUAGCGUAAGUCACUAUAUAAAUUUAUUAUUAAUAUUAUUAUAAAUUAUUAUUAUCAUUUUCAUAGUUGUUGUUGCUCUGGUUUUUAUUCAUAGUCAUUAAAGUGAUAUUGGACUGUAAUUUGUUAAUUUUUUUCAGAAUUUUUUUUAUGUACAUUUUCUUUAUUCUUCAUCUGCUAUAUCUUUCAAUUUCGUUCUCGCCGUAAGUCACUAUAUAAAUUUUAUUAUUAAUAUUAUAAGUUAUUAUCAUUUUCAUAGUUGUUGUUGCUAUGGUUAUUAUUCAUAUUCAUAAAAGUGAUUGUACUGUAAUUUGUUAAUUUUUUCAGAAUUUUUUUUUAAGUACAUUUUUUUUUCUUUAUCUGCUGUAUCUUUCAAAUAUUUGUAUUGUUUAUGUUACCCUUGUUUUAAAGUGUUUUGCCUAUUUCGUUGCCAAGGGUUUGUAAUUCGUUCCUUUUUUGUUGUUUAUAUUAAAGACGAACUAAGUCAAAUGAAGUGUUAAUAAUACUGUAUAAUACUUUAACAUGAAAUAGCUAUAUUUAUAUACACUCGCUAAGGUUAGGUAUGGUACACUAUAACUAUAUCCGAGAUUAAACAUAUGAAUAUAAUUGCAGUUUUCUGAAUAAUAAUUUAAUGCAUUUCAUUUAAGAUGAAUUGUGACAAAAUUAAGUAUUACAUUAGUUGUAUAGAGGUAGGUACUAUAUAUGUAUUUUGUACACAUUGUUAUUAGUUUCGAUUAAAUAGGCCUUUCAAAUUCCUAAAUUGCCAUCAUUAGGUCCACUUUAACAUUCUUUUUUAGAAGAAAUUUCUGUCGGGGAAAUUCGUGGCUGCAUAUAUUUGGCUUACUAACAUGAAUUAUUAGGAGAACUCAUUUUAUUUGUUAAAUUACUUCUGCUACACAGUCUUUUUUAUAUGUACUUAUCUAGUAUGAUAGCCUAUAUGUCAUUGCUAUUUAGUUAAUUAAUUAUUUACUUGUUUUGUAUUUGUUUUUUUGUAUCUGCAAUUUGUAGCCUUGGAUGUUCCUCUUCGCAAUAUUUUUAUUUAUAUGUACAGUAUCCUUUUUAAGACAUCCUGUAAUCCUCACAUUAGAUCACACUAAAACGACAGAAAUUUCUUCUAAAAAAGAAUGUUAAAGUGGACCUAAUGAUGGCAAUUUAGGCCUUUUGCUGUUGGAUGAUGUUGGAAAUAAAAUAAAAUAAAAAUAGUAUG